GUGGGUAUAGCUCAGUUGUAGAGCACCUGCUUAGCAUGCACAAGGUCCUGGCUUCAAUCCCCAGUACCUCCA
RNAcentral lists this transfer RNA (72 nucleotides) under Camelus bactrianus (Bactrian camel). It matches the Rfam family "tRNA". From Rfam's summary of the family: Transfer RNA (tRNA) molecules are approximately 80 nucleotides in length. Their secondary structure includes four short double-helical elements and three loops (D, anti-codon, and T loops). Further hydrogen bonds mediate the characteristic L-shaped molecular structure. tRNAs have two regions of fundamental functional importance: the anti-codon, which is responsible for specific mRNA codon recognition, and the 3' end, to which the tRNAs corresponding amino acid is attached (by aminoacyl-tRNA synthetases). tRNAs cope with the degeneracy of the genetic code in two manners: having more than one tRNA (with a specific anti-codon) for a particular amino acid; and 'wobble' base-pairing, i.e. permitting non-standard base-pairing at the 3rd anti-codon position. RNAcentral also lists the same sequence under 1 other name. Lineage: Eukaryota; Metazoa; Chordata; Mammalia; Artiodactyla; Camelidae. The record is from Rfam by way of RNAcentral.